UACGGAGGGUGCAAACGUUGCUCGGAAUCAUUGGGCGUAAAGCGCACGUAGGCGGUCAGCUAUGUCGGAUGUGAAAGCCUCGGGCUUAACCCGAGAAGGGCAUCCGAAACUGGCCGGCUUGAGUACGGAAGAGGGUCUCGGAAUUCCCGGUGUAGAGGUGAAAUUCGUAGAUAUCGGGAGGAACACCAGUGGCGAAGGCGGAGACCUGGGCCGAUACUGACGCUGAGGUGCGAAAGCGUGGGGAGCAAACAGG
Molecule: ribosomal RNA, 253 nt
Filed under: uncultured bacterium
Lineage: Bacteria
Description: partial 16S ribosomal RNA
Rfam family: Bacterial small subunit ribosomal RNA
Source: RNAcentral